RNAcentral lists this ribosomal RNA (253 nucleotides) under uncultured bacterium. RNAcentral's name for it is "partial 16S ribosomal RNA". It matches the Rfam family "Bacterial small subunit ribosomal RNA", at positions 524 to 776 of the family's 1533-position model. The record is from RNAcentral.
UACGUAGGGUGCGAGCGUUGUCCGGAAUUACUGGGCGUAAAGCGCGUGUAGGCGGUUGUUCAAGUCAGGUGUGAAAGCCUUGAGCUCAACUCAAGAAAUGCACUUGAUACUGGAUGACUAGAGGACCGGAGAGGAUAGUGGAAUUCCCAGUGUAGUGGUGAAAUACGUAGAGAUUGGGAAGAACACCAGUGGCGAAGGCGGCUAUCUGGACGGUUUCUGACGCUAAGACGCGAAAGCGUGGGGAGCAAACAGG